AUGCCGGCCAUGCAAGUGCCGGAGCAGAGCACCGGAGUUACCGUGAACCUGCCUAUGGGCUCGGGCUGCGCUUCGUCGCCGCCCACCUCCCCGCAGCCGCGCCACGGGAGGCUGGUCACCGUGCUGAGCAUCGACGGCGGCGGCGUGCGAGGGAUCAUCCCCGGCACCAUCCUCGCGUUCCUCGAACAAAAGCUUCAGGAGUUUGAUGGGCCGGACGCGAGGAUCGCAGAUUACUUCGACGUGGUCGCCGGGACGAGCACCGGAGGCCUGGUGGCCGCUAUGCUCACCGCGCCCAACGACCAGGGCCGCCCGCUCUUCGCCGCCAAGGACGUCAACAAGUUCUACCUCGAGCACUGCCCGAAUAUCUUCCCUGCCGCGUGCAAAGGACCUCUGGGCUUGUUCAAGAGCAUGAUGGGACCCAAGUACAACGGCCAGCACCUGCACUCGGUCGUGAAGGAGCUGCUCGGCAACACGCGAGUCAGUCAGACACUCAAGAGCAUCGUCAUCCCCACUUUCGACAUCAAGCUCCUUCAGCCUACGAUCUUCUCGACCUACGAUGCCAUGAGGGAUGUCACCAAGGAUGCUCUUCUAUCGGAUGUCUGCAUUAGUACGUCUGCCGCGCCCACCUACCUCCCCGGGCACCAUUUUGAGACCAAGGACAAAGACGGUAAGACCCGGGCCUUCAACCUCAUCGACGGAGGCGUCGCCGCUAACAAUCCGACCCUUGUGGCGAUGACCCAUGUAAGCAAGCAGAUCCUGAUGAAAAACAUGAACUUCUUUCCCGUCAAGCCGGCGGAGUAUGGCAAGUUCAUGGUCCUUUCGCUGGGCACCGGCACCGCCAAGGUCGAAGAGAAGUUCGAUGCUGCCAUGUGCAGCAAGUGGGGCCUUCUCGGGUGGCUCUACAAGGGGGGCACCACGCCGAUUAUCGACAGCUUCAGCCAAGCCAACGCUGAUCUCGUCGAUAUCCAGGCAUCCGUGCUCUUCCAGGCGCUGCACUGUGACCGCGACAGGCGCUACCUCCGGAUCCAGGACGAUGAGCUCACAGGCGAAACGGCCUCCGUCGACGUGUCCACGACGGAGAACCUCAAAAGGCUCAUCGAUGUCGGCAAGGCAUUGCUGAAGAGGCAGGUGUGCAAGGUGAACAUUGAGACAGGCAAGAACGAGCCUGACCUAGAGAGGGGCACCAACGAGGAGGAACUGACCCAUUUUGCACGCAAGCUGUCGGAAGAGCACAAAGCUAGAUUGUCUUGCGGUGGUGGGUCUCGAAACUUAGAUAUUACUCUAUGA
Molecule: ribosomal RNA, 1287 nt
Filed under: Triticum aestivum (bread wheat)
Lineage: Eukaryota; Viridiplantae; Streptophyta; Magnoliopsida; Poales; Poaceae
Description: partial small subunit ribosomal RNA
Source: RNAcentral